This 420-nucleotide ribosomal RNA is filed under the name Bacillus sp. Lgg10.14. RNAcentral describes it as "bacterial SSU rRNA". It matches the Rfam family "Bacterial small subunit ribosomal RNA", at positions 43 to 451 of the family's 1533-position model. The record is from RNAcentral. Lineage: Bacteria; Bacillati; Bacillota; Bacilli; Caryophanales; Bacillaceae.
CAGGCCUAACACAUGCAAGUCGAGCGAAUGGAUUAAGAGCUUGCUCUUAUGAAGUUAGCGGCGGACGGGUGAGUAACACGUGGGUAACCUACCCAUAAGACUGGGAUAACUCCGGGAAACCGGGGCUAAUACCGGAUAAUAUUUUGAACUGCAUAGUUCGAAAUUGAAAGGCGGCUUCGGCUGUCACUUAUGGAUGGACCCGCGUCGCAUUAGCUAGUUGGUGAGGUAACGGCUCACCAAGGCGACGAUGCGUAGCCGACCUGAGAGGGUGAUCGGCCGCACUGGGGCUGAGACACGGCCCAGACUCCUACGGGAGGCAGCAGUAGGGAAUCUUCCGCAAUGGACGAAAGUCUGACGGAGCAACGCCGCGUGAGUGAUGAAGGCUUUCGGGUCGUAAAACUCUGUUGUUAGGGAAGAACA